UUACCUGUGCUUGACAUGGACCGGAUUGGCGUAGAGAUACGUUUUCCCUUGUGGUCGGUUCACCGGUGGUGCAAGGUUGUUGUCAGCUUGUGUUGUGAGAAGUUGGGUUAAGUUCCGCAACGAGGGCAACCCUUGUUUUAUGUUGCCAGCACAUUUUUGGUGGGUACUCAUGAGAGACUGCCGGGGUUAACUCGGAGGAAGGUGGGGAUGACGUCAAAUCAUCAUGCCCCUUAUGUCCAGGGGUUCACACAUGGUACAAUGGUCGGUACAGCGAGUUGCCACACCGUGAGGUGGAGCUAAUUUCUUAAAGCCGGCCUCAGUUCGGAUUGGGGUUUGCAACUCGACCCCAUGAAGUUGGAGUCGGUAGUAAUCGCAGAUCAGCAACGCGGGAAAUCCGUUC
This 400-nucleotide ribosomal RNA is filed under the name uncultured Corynebacterium sp. RNAcentral's name for it is "bacterial SSU rRNA". It matches the Rfam family "Bacterial small subunit ribosomal RNA", at positions 971 to 1373 of the family's 1533-position model. Lineage: Bacteria; Bacillati; Actinomycetota; Actinomycetes; Mycobacteriales; Corynebacteriaceae. The record is from RNAcentral.